This 982-nucleotide long non-coding RNA is filed under the name Brassica napus (rape). Its description in RNAcentral is "long non-coding RNA (BNAP_LNC018692)". Lineage: Eukaryota; Viridiplantae; Streptophyta; Magnoliopsida; Brassicales; Brassicaceae. The record is from RNAcentral.
GCAAUUAGAAACUAGUUCCAACAAAACCUUAGCCGUCUCCUUAAGUAAGUCUCGAGAGUAUUCAUAGUAGUUAUAGUUUGUAGAUUAUGUUUCGAGUGCAGCGAAACAGUCUCAUUGUGGCUGUACCCUUAGAUUCGAAAAUCGCAUUCAAACCGUCUCACAUUACGGGCGAUUUAUUGAGCUAAGAGAAGAUAUCAAAUCUCGACUCCACAUUUUUUGUAUUUUCCUUAACGAUUUCUUAAACGUUUUCUACAUCUAUAAUAUUGUUUCAUUCAAUUUCUAUUUCGUGAAUUUUAAUCAGAAUUUUCACGGUCCUACAAUUUUAAAUAAAUAAAUCCGCUUCUUGCUUAUCGCUUGAAUCGGAUUGAAUAAUGCGAACAAUAUUUCUAUAUAACAAUUUUAUAAAACCUUUUUUAAAAUUGAUCUAAACGAUUUGCGAACGCUCUUUAACUAUUCGCAAAACGUUUUGAUCUAUAAGACGAAUCAUAUCAGAAAAUGAUUUACGCAACAGUCUCUGACAGGUUCGCGAUCUCGUUUUUCUAAAUAUAAAAACAGUCUAUUUUGAUUAAAAUAGCGUUUAAGAAUUUUUUAUUGAAAUGAAUUCUCAAUACUUACUACGGUUUGUGUUCUGUGAAAAGAUUUAAUUAGGACUGACGGUGAUAACAACACGCAAGUCAAUGGGGCAACCGGUGCAACCAGUGACAGUCAAUCAAUUGAAACACUACCAACAACAGCUCCGUCUGUGCCUAGCAACAUAGACGGACUUCAGCCCGACAAGUUUGAUGGAACAAUGAGAUUUGUCUUUCACGCUACCAUUUCUAAACAUGUUAUACUAAUUAAUAUUUCGGGUUAAUCCAAAACGUAGCUUCUAACACAAGUUUGUCUUAGUAGCAGUUACAAUUAUCAGUACCAAUUAUUUGUGGCCGCAGCAGUUACAGUUAUCUGUACCAGUUAUUUGUGGCAGUAACAGUAGGCUGAUACC